AUAUAGAUGUAUCGCGUGAGGGAUAGAAGCGACAUCCUUUAAUACGGUCAUUGAGCGUAGCCGAAAUGACCGUAUUAAAGAUACAGCGGAAAGCCCGACCCGAA
Molecule: small RNA, 104 nt
Filed under: Flavobacterium terrae
Lineage: Bacteria; Pseudomonadati; Bacteroidota; Flavobacteriia; Flavobacteriales; Flavobacteriaceae
Description: Flavo-1 RNA
Rfam family: Flavo-1 RNA
Source: Rfam by way of RNAcentral